Molecule: ribosomal RNA, 774 nt
Filed under: uncultured Neocallimastigales
Lineage: Eukaryota; Fungi; Neocallimastigomycota; Neocallimastigomycetes; Neocallimastigales
Description: partial large subunit ribosomal RNA
Rfam family: Eukaryotic large subunit ribosomal RNA
Source: RNAcentral
ACACGCAUGACACACUGCAUAUCAAUAAGCGGAGGAAAAGAAACUAACAAGGAUUCCCUUAGUAACGGCGAGUGAAGCGGGAAUAGCUCAAAUUUGAAAUCUUCAAGGUUCUACCUUGACGAAUUGUAGUUUAUAGAAGUGUUUUCUGUUAGUAGAGCGGCAAAAGUUCUUUGGAAUAGGACAUCAUAGAGGGUGAGAAUCCCGUAUUUGGUCAUUCUUUCUAGCUUUGUGAUACACUUUCAACGAGUCGGAUUGUUUGGGAAUGCAGUCCAAAAUGGGUGGUAAAUUUCAUCUAAAGCUAAAUAUUGGCGAGAGACCGAUAGCGAACAAGUACCGUGAGGGAAAGAUGAAAAGAACUUUGAAAAGAGAGUUAAACAGUACGUGAAAUUGUCAAAAGGGAAGCGUUUGACACCAGUGUUGUUUUUCCGAAAAUCAAUUACGAAUGUUUUGUUUUUAAGAAGUUAUGACUUCAUCGGCUUGCUUCUUUCUUUACGAAACUUUCUUAAUGCACUUUUCGGUUAACAAGUCAACAUCAAUUUCUUUUGUUGUAAAAGGGUAUGAGGAAGGUGGCUUUCUUUUCGGAGAAAGUGUUUAUAGCCUUGUGCCUCUGCAAUCGGAGAGAUUGAGGUCUGCAGCGUAGAUCCUUCGGGGUUAGAUACAUUUGUGCUAAGUUAUAGCUUUUCAUAGACAACUUGUUGACUAUGUUUAGUCUUGUAGCUUACUCGCUUAUGCUAUUUUACCUACGCUUAGGAUGUUGACGCAUGAGAUAUACGC